GACGAACGCUGGCGGCGUGCUUAACACAUGCAAGUCGAACGGAAAGGCCCUGCUUUUGUGGGGUGCUCGAGUGGCGAACGGGUGAGUAACACGUGAGUAACCUGCUCUUGUCUUUGGGAUAACUUCAGGAAACUGGGGCUAAUACCGGAUCGGAGCUCCUGUUGCAUGGAGGGGGUUGGAACGUCUCGGCGGUUGGGGAUGGACUAGCGGCUUAUGAGCUUGCUGGUGGGGUAGUGGCUUACCAAGGCAGUGACGGGUAGCCGGCCUGUGAGGGUGGACGGCCACAAUGGGCCUGAGAGACGGACCAGAGUCGAACGGGAGGCAGCGGUGGGGAGUAUUGCACAGUGGGCGGAAGCCUGAUGCAGCAACGCCGCGUUCGUGAAGACGGCCUGCGGGGUGUAAACCGCAUUCGCCUGAGACGAAGCGGUAGUGACGGUAAUGGGUAAAGAAGCACCGGCUAACUACGUG
Molecule: ribosomal RNA, 468 nt
Filed under: uncultured bacterium
Lineage: Bacteria
Description: partial 16S ribosomal RNA
Rfam family: Bacterial small subunit ribosomal RNA
Source: RNAcentral